Molecule: long non-coding RNA, 1713 nt
Organism: Artibeus jamaicensis (Jamaican fruit-eating bat)
Lineage: Eukaryota; Metazoa; Chordata; Mammalia; Chiroptera; Phyllostomidae
Exons: 5
Source: RefSeq, a predicted model, not a curated record
UGGCUGCCGUGUGAGCAGGGACAGCUUUUCUCUCCCCCCCACAGAGAGCUGCAGAGCCAUUUAGGUUCUCAACAUGUUGCAGUGAAGACCAGCACAAGGCAUGUCCUGACCCUGAAUGUCCUCGAUUGUUUUUCUUAGGAAAAAUCCCCCUAAAAAUUGAUCUGGGAAAAUACCAGCCAGGGUCAUAUUAUCAGAGAGGAAGAUGUUGAACUACUUCAUUUACUUAACAAGGCUUUAUUAUGUGUUUUAGGUACAAGGUGCAAAGCGCAUAGAGGGAGGCAGCCAUGAGUAGGCUGGGUUCCUAGGCCUACGGAACUUCCUGGGAUUCAACACAGAAGGCAGGAGAGCAAUGGAUUAUAAUCUAGUGAAAUGAAACAGUGCUCUGAUGUAUGAGAACAGUAAGGGUGCUGGGAGCUCUUCUUUCAUGAAACCUCACAGCUCUUAUAUUUCAUGCCCCAUUAUGUAGCAGUUUCUAAAAAUUCUGCCCUCCCUGGUUUCCUAGGGCUCUCCUAACUCAGAUGAUAGCCUUCUCAAAUUCAGGAAGGCGAUCUUAACAACUGUGUUUCCUGAACUUUAGUUGUGUGCCAGUGCCCAGGACUCUGCAUGUCCAGCCACCUUCUCUGACCAGCUCUUGUAUCCCCUAUAGCAGUUCUCACACUGCUCAGCAAACGCAGAUUCAUGAUUGCAACAUUGCGUUUGAAACCUUCAAUCACUUUUAUUACACCUGACAAGCAAGGUAGGGAUUCCUAAAAUAUGGUAGACACAUCAUGCACUCAAAAAGUCGUCGGGCAAAUGGAACAUGUUAGGAUACCAUCUCCCCGACCUCUACCAGCCCAUGAUGCUAUUCUGUAUGUGCAGCCCCGAAGACUACACAGAAGCACAUAUCCUGUGCUUUUUAAAGGGGAUGAAACAUGAGACUUCAUACUUUACCUUCCAGGUCUAGUCCCGGAAUCGCUCACAUAACAUUUUCUCUGUGUUAUUAUAUUUACUUUGCAGAGUAAGUUCUUUUGUAAGGCAGGGUGUGGAACUGAGUGGUGAUCCUAAGCUCCAGAGCAACUUUCAAGCCUCAGUGCUAUGUAGCAAUUUUAGAACAAUGAGUGGUAAGAGCCUGCUGCUAAUUGAGACCUGCCAAAGACGCUCACUUGAUGCAGGCUUCAGCCUGCUCCGUUUGGUACUUCUGGUCUCUAUCUACCAGACCCCCACAGCCUACUGGGCAGACAUCACUGCAGACUUUGGUUUAACGCAUUCAGUUUUUGACUCAGCCUCACGGAGACAAGUGGCAUCUCUUUACGACUUGUGAAUAUCCUUUUACUGUCAUUACACUGUUCAGGAGAGAGAGAGAAACACCAGCUUAUUGUUGUACCCAUUUAUGUGUUCAUUGGUUGCCUCUUGUAUGUGCCCUGACUGGAGAUUGAACCUGCACCCUUGGUACAUCAGGACGAUGCUCUAACCAACUGAGCUACUUGGAGAGCACCCAAAAUGUUUUCUUCCCUUUAUCGUUGUUCAACUUUCUUUAGGGAAGGAUUAGAAAGAGCAGUUCCACUAACUAGGAUCUAAAACCAGUCAUCUCUGUGAGCCUUCAUCUCCUCUUCUGUAGAGAGAAGGUACCAGCUCCUGUGUGUAUUUGAGAGACACAUUGUAUGGAAGCCACCGUGGUGUCUGGUCAAGGGGCGAGCCCAGAGCACACCUGGUCAGGAGUACUCCUCUUUCUCA